Molecule: long non-coding RNA, 985 nt
Organism: Helianthus annuus (common sunflower)
Lineage: Eukaryota; Viridiplantae; Streptophyta; Magnoliopsida; Asterales; Asteraceae
Exons: 5
Source: RefSeq, a predicted model, not a curated record
CAGGCUAGAAGUUUGCCGACAGAUAAGCUCAGGACUACUUAUGUGUGUUAAUGCCAUGAGAAGUUGCGGCUCUUCUGGAAACAAAGGGUAGUGAUUCUAAUUAAACAAUUAUGGACUACCAAGACCAAUGUAUCCAAAUUGUUGGAAUGGAGAAAAUGAACUUUAUUGUGUUGGGGCUUGCAAGAAGGGACCUGUAUAGAGCUAGAAUGGAUGCCCAGAAUACAGCGCAACACAUUUUCAAGCUAAUCUAAAAGAAAAUCACCAACUUUGAUCAAAACGUUACACUUUUAUUGAAUGGGAAGAUGAUGAAAUGAAUGAAUGUUUCAAGAUGGGCAAGAAAAGAAGAAGAGUGAGAAAAGUGCCAUUGAGAUUUCUUCAAAGAAAGCAAGCGUUUCUUUUUGACACAAUCAAGGCCACAACGAUCAUGGUUUGUGGGCAAGCCAUCAUUCAUCUGGAUUGCUACAUGAAGUUGAUCGACCAGGAACAAUAACAGUGUCCCAUGCUCAAGAUCAGUGUCUAAUACGUCCAAAACAUGGCAAAGAUUAGACCAAGAGUCUAGGGAAAGCGAGAAAUAAGUUGGUGUUUAACAAGUUGAAGAAGUCCGCAGAUUAAACAACGUAGAGCUUCAAGCACAAGCUUUUAAUUGGAUUAAACAUAACAUGUUGAUUUGGAAGGUCAAGAAUGGUGCAAAUGGUAUGAAAAUCCCGCAGGUGCUUUGAAUAAGUGUAUCACCAUUUGAUUGGCGUCAUGGGAGGCGCGAUUCCAACGAGAACUUUUUGUUAUGGAACAUCACGUAUUGUAUGAAUUUAUAGGGCUUGCAAGAGAUAAAAAUGAAGAACAUGGGAGGCUAUUUUUAAUGCGAUUUAGUUUUUUUUUCACGGAACAAUGUAUUUGUUUUCUUAAAUCGUCUUCUUUUAAGUAAUUUGAUGUAACUUACAGUCUCUUUUAUUGCCGAAUGCACUUUCAUAUAAAACUUCUUUUUGUC